This 127-nucleotide small nucleolar RNA is filed under the name Cavia porcellus (domestic guinea pig). RNAcentral's name for it is "Small nucleolar RNA SNORA30/SNORA37 family (ENSCPOG00000019829.2)". The record is from RNAcentral. Lineage: Eukaryota; Metazoa; Chordata; Mammalia; Rodentia; Caviidae.
UUGGCAAGUACACAGGUGUUCCCCCAGGCAGUGGGGCCAGGCUGUGGUAGAUGGUGCUGAGGGAAAACGUUGAUGCAUCCUUCCCCUGGUACUGCACCAGUGGCAGCUGUGACUCAGUGGGACAGAC